UCAUCCCAUGUGGUUGCCUUCCUGGAAAUGUGGCUUCUUCUGGAGUAUGUUUCGUGCUGCAACAUCCCAUGACCAUCUCCCUGCAGCGGGACCUGCCUUUGUAUGCUGAAGGUGCAGCGACAAGAUUGCUGCUCAACAUCACUGCCUCCUUCUUUGUCCUGCCCACACAAUGGGAGGUUGCACCCAGAAGCCCCAGCAAUGAUGUAGCUACCUUGAGCGGGGAAGCUCCCAUUUCUGGAUGGAACAGAUGGGAGGAGAGGAGGACCUGCAAGGGCUCAUGGAGGAGGGACCCUCGUGCAGACACUUCAAUCCAUGGACUUGACGAGCCUAAAGCGUUUUCCUCCUGGACAGCCAGAAAGAUUUGCUGCAUUCCUGGACAAAGUGACUGGGGUUUGAAUAAAUGGACUACAACAGAAAGCU
Hemicordylus capensis (graceful crag lizard) is the source of this 420-nucleotide long non-coding RNA. RefSeq lists it as uncharacterized. The transcript is spliced from 2 exons. NCBI's taxonomy places the organism in Eukaryota, Metazoa, Chordata, Lepidosauria, Squamata, Cordylidae. The record is from RefSeq and is a predicted model, not a curated record.